RNAcentral lists this transfer RNA (17 nucleotides) under Trachemys grayi emolli (Nicaraguan slider). Its description in RNAcentral is "partial tRNA-Leu". Lineage: Eukaryota; Metazoa; Chordata; Testudines; Emydidae. The record is from RNAcentral.
ACUUUAAAGGAUAGAAG